RNAcentral lists this ribosomal RNA (463 nucleotides) under uncultured bacterium. RNAcentral's name for it is "bacterial SSU rRNA". It matches the Rfam family "Bacterial small subunit ribosomal RNA", at positions 28 to 507 of the family's 1533-position model. The record is from RNAcentral.
GACGAACGCUGGCGGCGUGCCUAACACAUGCAAGUCGAGCGAGUGGAGUUCUUCGGAACAAAGCUAGCGGCGGACGGGUGAGUAACACGUGGGCAACCUGCCUCAUAGAGGGGAAUAGCCUCCCGAAAGGGAGAUUAAUACCGCAUAAGAUUGUAGCUUCGCAUGAAGUAGCAAUUAAAGGAGCAAUCCGCUAUGAGAUGGGCCCGCGGCGCAUUAGCUAGUUGGUGAGGUAACGGCUCACCAAGGCGACGAUGCGUAGCCGACCUGAGAGGGUGAUCGGCCACAGUUGGGACUGAGACACGGCCCAGACUCCUACGGGAGGCAGCAGGUGGGGAAUAUUGCACAAUGGGGAAACCCUGAUGCAGCAACGCCGCGUGAGUGAUGACGGCCUUCGGGUUGUAAAGCUCUGUCUUCAGGGACGAUAAUGACGGUACCUGAGGAGGAAGCCACGGCUAACUACGUG